GAUGAACGCUGGCGGCGUGCCUAAUCCAUGCAAGCAGAACCCUGCAGGAGGAGCUUGCUCUUCUGGAUGAGUUGCGAACGGGUGAGUAACGCGUAGGUAACCUGCCUGGUAGCGGGGGAUAACUAUUGGACACGAUAGCUAAUACCGCAUGACAACAGUUAUUGCAUGAUAACUGUUUAAAAGGGGCAACUGCUCCACUACCAGAUGGACCUGCGUUGUAUUAGCUAGUUGGUGAGGUAACGGCUCACCAAGGCGACGAUACAUAGCCGACCUGAGAGGGUGAUCGGCCACACUGGGACUGAGACACGGCCCAGACUCCUACGGGAGGCAGCAGUAGGGAAUCUUCGGCAAUGGACGGAAGUCUGACCGAGCAACGCCGCGUGAGUGAAGAAGGUUUUCGGAUCGUAAAGCUCUGUUGUAAGAGAAGAACGAGUGUGAGAGUGGAAAGUUCACACUGUGACGGUAUCUUACCAGAAAGGGACGGCUAACUACGUG
This 495-nucleotide ribosomal RNA is filed under the name uncultured bacterium. RNAcentral describes it as "partial 16S ribosomal RNA". It matches the Rfam family "Bacterial small subunit ribosomal RNA", at positions 28 to 507 of the family's 1533-position model. The record is from RNAcentral.